GACAGUGUUUCAGCUUAACUGGUAGAGCAUUUUGCGCGUAACCAAAAGAUCCAGGUUCAAGUCCUGGUCUGGGCUGUCU
Molecule: transfer RNA, 79 nt
Filed under: Cotesia glomerata
Lineage: Eukaryota; Metazoa; Arthropoda; Insecta; Hymenoptera; Braconidae
Description: tRNA-Thr
Rfam family: tRNA (bases 12-67)
About the family: Transfer RNA (tRNA) molecules are approximately 80 nucleotides in length.
Source: RNAcentral